GUUAUAUGGUCAAGUGAAUAAGCGCAUACGGUGGAUGCCUUGGCAGUCAGAGGCGAUGAAAGACGUUGUAGCCUGCGAUAAGGUUCGGGGAGCUGGCAAACAAGCUAUGAUCCGGACAUUUCUGAAUGGGGAAACCCACCCAGCAUAAGCUGGGUAUCACACACUGAAUACAUAGGUGUGUGAGGCGAACCGGGGGAACUGAAACAUCUAAGUACCCCGAGGAAAAGAAAUCAACCGAGAUUCCCCAAGUAGUGGCGAGCGAACGGGGAGCAGCCCUUAAGCAGUUUAGAGUUUAGUGGAACGCCCUGGAAAUGGCGGCCGUAGUGGGUGAUAGCCCCGUACACGAAAGGCUCUUAGCUGUGAAAUCGAGUAGGACGGCGCACGUGAAACGUUGUCUGAACAUGGGGGGACCAUCCUCCAAGGCUAAAUACUCCUGACUGACCGAUAGUGAACCAGUACCGUGAGGGAAAGGCGAAAAGAACCCCUGUGAGGGGAGUGAAAUAGAACCUGAAACCGUAUGCGUACAAGCAGUGGGAGCGGACUUGUUCCGUGACUGCGUACCUUUUGUAUAAUGGGUCAGCGACUUAUAUUCUGUGGCGAGCUUAACCGUAUAGGGGAGGCGUAGGGAAACCGAGUCUUAAUAGGGCGAACAGUCGCAGGGUAUAGACCCGAAACCGGGCGAUCUAUCCAUGGGCAGGUUGAAGGUGCCGUAACAGGCACUGGAGGACCGAACCGACUACCGUUGAAAAGUUAGCGGAUGACUUGUGGAUAGGAGUGAAAGGCUAAUCAAGCUCGGAGAUAGCUGGUUCUCCUCGAAAGCUAUUUAGGUAGCGCCUCGUGUAUCACCACUGGGGGUAGAGCACUGUUUGGGCUAGGGGGUCAUCCCGACUUACCAACCCCAUGCAAACUCCGAAUACCAGUGAGUGCGAGCACGGGAGACACACGGCGGGUGCUAACGUCCGUCGUGAAAAGGGAAACAACCCAGACCGUCAGCUAAGGUCCCAAAGUUAUGGUUAAGUGGGAAACGAUGUGGGAAGGCUUAGACAGCUAGGAGGUUGGCUUAGAAGCAGCCAUCCUUUAAAGAAAGCGUAAUAGCUCACUAGUCGAGUCGGCCUGCGCGGAAGAUGUAACGGGGCUCAAACCAUACACCGAAGCUACGGGUGCAUCUUAGGAUGUGCGGUAGAGGAGCGUUCUGUAAGCCUGUGAAGGUCAAUUGAGAAGUUGGCUGGAGGUAUCAGAAGUGCGAAUGCUGACAUGAGUAACGACAAUGGGAGUGAAAAACUCCCACGCCGGAAGACCAAGGGUUCCUGCGCAACGUUAAUCGACGCAGGGUGAGUCGACCCCUAAGGCGAGGCCGAAAGGCGUAGUCGAUGGGAAACGGGUUAAUAUUCCCGUACUUCUAGUUACUGCGAUGGGGGGACGGAGAAGGCUAGGCCAGCAAGGCGUUGGUUGUCCUUGUUUAAGGCGGUAGGCUGGGAUCUUAGGUAAAUCCGGGAUCCUAAGGCCGAGAACCGAUGACGAGCUUUCUUUUAAGAAAGCGAAGUGGUUGAUGCCAUGCUUCCAGGAAAAGCCUCUAAGCUUCAGGUAACUAGGAAUCGUACCCCAAACCGACACAGGUGGUCAGGUAGAGAAUACCAAGGCGCUUGAGAGAACUCGGGUGAAGGAACUAGGCAAAAUGGCACCGUAACUUCGGGAGAAGGUGCGCCGGCUAGGGUGAAGGAUUUACUCCGUAAGCUCUGGCUGGUCGAAGAUACCAGGCCGCUGCAACUGUUUAUUAAAAACACAGCACUCUGCAAACACGAAAGUGGACGUAUAGGGUGUGACGCCUGCCCGGUGCCGGAAGGUUAAUUGAUGGGGUUAGCUUCGGCGAAGCUCUUGAUCGAAGCCCCGGUAAACGGCGGCCGUAACUAUAACGGUCCUAAGGUAGCGAAAUUCCUUGUCGGGUAAGUUCCGACCUGCACGAAUGGCGUAAUGAUGGCGGCGCUGUCUCCACCCGAGACUCAGUGAAAUUGAAAUCGCUGUGAAGAUGCAGUGUAUCCGCGGCUAGACGGAAAGACCCCGUGAACCUUUACUAUAGCUUUGCACUGGACUUUGAAUUUGCUUGUGUAGGAUAGGUGGGAGGCUUUGAAGCGUGGACGCCAGUUCGCGUGGAGCCAACCUUGAAAUACCACCCUGGCAACUUUGAGGUUCUAACUCUGGUCCGUUAUCCGGAUCGAGGACAGUGUAUGGUGGGUAGUUUGACUGGGGCGGUCUCCUCCCAAAGAGUAACGGAGGAGUACGAAGGUGCGCUCAGCACGGUCGGAAAUCGUGCGUAGAGUAUAAAGGCAAAAGCGCGCUUGACUGCGAGACCAACACGUCGAGCAGGUACGAAAGUAGGUCUUAGUGAUCCGGUGGUUCUGUAUGGAAGGGCCAUCGCUCAACGGAUAAAAGGUACUCCGGGGAUAACAGGCUGAUACCGCCCAAGAGUUCAUAUCGACGGCGGUGUUUGGCACCUCGAUGUCGGCUCAUCACAUCCUGGGGCUGAAGCCGGUCCCAAGGGUAUGGCUGUUCGCCAUUUAAAGUGGUACGCGAGCUGGGUUUAGAACGUCGUGAGACAGUUCGGUCCCUAUCUGCCGUGGACGUUUGAGAUUUGAGAGGGGCUGCUCCUAGUACGAGAGGACCGGAGUGGACGAACCUCUGGUGUUCCGGUUGUCACGCCAGUGGCAUUGCCGGGUAGCUACGUUCGGAAGAGAUAACCGCUGAAAGCAUCUAAGCGGGAAACUUGCCUCAAGAUGAGAUCUCACCGGGAGCUUGACUCCCCUGAAGGGCCGUCGAAGACUACGACGUUGAUAGGCUGGGUGUGUAAGCGUUGCAAGGCGUUGAGCUAACCAGUACUAAUUGCCCGUGUGGCUUGACCAUAUAACACCCAAGCAAUU
This 2915-nucleotide ribosomal RNA is filed under the name Pseudomonas sp. gcc21. RNAcentral's name for it is "23S ribosomal RNA". It matches the Rfam family "Bacterial large subunit ribosomal RNA". The record is from RNAcentral. Lineage: Bacteria; Pseudomonadati; Pseudomonadota; Gammaproteobacteria; Pseudomonadales; Pseudomonadaceae.